Long non-coding RNA from Zingiber officinale, 1172 nucleotides. RefSeq lists it as uncharacterized. The record is from RefSeq and is a predicted model, not a curated record. NCBI's taxonomy places the organism in Eukaryota, Viridiplantae, Streptophyta, Magnoliopsida, Zingiberales, Zingiberaceae. The transcript is spliced from 4 exons.
CUCCGCUAAAAACCUUCCGCGACCUAACCUCCUCCGCCAAAAAGCCUCCCUUUGCGAAAACAUACCAAAACUUCUUCCGCCGAAACCCUCCUUCGCGUCGCCCGCACCUAGCCUCCGCUCAUUCUACCCACUCACUGCCUCCUCCUCGCUGUCGUACUCACUCGCUCCGCCAUCGUUAGUUGCGGCCAAGAAGAAGGAAGCUGGAGAAGACCCAAUGGAACAGAGAAGUCGGUGGUGCCUCCCCUCUCGCCUCGAGUGAUCCUCCCACAGCCAGCGGAGAAACCGACGUUAGUCUCCAAGGAUUAUGCUACAUGCCGGAGAAGUGCUAUCCAUGACCUUCCCUCUGUGGGUGGGGACAACCUGUUGUGUUGCCCUUUCAUUCCUCUGGGUGGACAAGAACUUGGAAAUAUUUGGCCCCACCCUCACUCUGCUCGGUCUCUUCCUCUCUCUUGGCAUUCGUCCGAUUACUAACGAUUAGGAUCCUAAAAGAAAGGUACACAAGCCUGUUAAAGGUGUAUUGAAAUUGGAGGUUGAAAAGCUUCAUACUUCACUUGUUGAUGUGGACAAUAUCGACGGUGGAAGCAUAAUCAUUGACUCAAAUGAUGAUAGUGAUCGUUUUACUGAAACUUCUCUAGGAAAGCAUCAUAGCAAUGGUCCUGAUAUCUCCAGGAGUGGUAGUUUGAAGUUCAUCGACAUUAAUCGAAAAGAUAUUUAUAGGAAUGUGUCAAUUCCAAUCGGAGAAGAUCAUCCUGAUUUUAGUGAUCAUCUUGGGUCGUAAAAGAAAUUUGUUCAUAAGGAUAUAAAUGCGAAAGGAUGAUGCUGACAUCCAAAAGCAGCCAUUAGAGGCUGAGUUUCCAAAGGAACAAGGUCAAACUCUUGAAAAGUAUACUCAUACACAAAUUGCAGUUGGAGCUAGAAUGGCUUGCUACCAUGAUGAAGUUAAACUUUGCCUCCUUGCUAUUUUGACACCCCAACACCAUCUCUUGUUUACUUUUUUUUCGUGUCAAACUUCUGAUGAAACUUGAAGCUUCCAAGCCUGUAAGUGCUAAUCAUGCUUUUGAUUAGUUUAAUAGGUGGAUUCUGUAUUUAUGUUAAAUCACACGUGUGGAACAUCCUUCCCAUUUUUAAUUGAUAGUUAAAUAUGUAGGUGAUUAUGGGUUAUGCUGCACUUC